This 460-nucleotide ribosomal RNA is filed under the name uncultured bacterium. Its description in RNAcentral is "partial 16S ribosomal RNA". It matches the Rfam family "Bacterial small subunit ribosomal RNA", at positions 338 to 795 of the family's 1533-position model. The record is from RNAcentral.
CCUACGGGUGGCAGCAGUGAGGAAUAUUGGUCAAUGGACGAGAGUCUGAACCAGCCAAGUAGCGUGAAGGAUGAAUGCCCAAUGGGUCGUAAACUUCUUUUAUCAGGGAAUAAAAGGAGGCACGUGUGCCUUUUUGCGUGUACUUUAUGAAUAAGGAUCGGCUAACUCCGUGCCAGCAGCCGCGGUAAUACGGAGGAUGCGAGCGUUAUCCGGAUUUAUUGGGUUUAAAGGGAGCGUAGAUGGGUUGUUAAGUCAGUUGUGAAAGUUGGCGGCUCAACCGUAAAAUUGCAAUUGAUACUGGCAGUCUCGAGUACAGUAGAGGUAGGCGGAAUGCGCGGUGUAGCGGUGAAAUGCUUAGAUAUCACGAAGAACUCCGAUUGCGAAGGCAGCUCGCCGGACUGAAACUGACGCUGAGGCUCGAAAGUGUGGGUAUCAAACAGGAUUAGAUGCCCCAGUAGUC